RNAcentral lists this transfer RNA (85 nucleotides) under Verrucomicrobiota bacterium. RNAcentral's name for it is "Verrucomicrobia bacterium tRNA-Ser". It matches the Rfam family "tRNA". From Rfam's summary of the family: Transfer RNA (tRNA) molecules are approximately 80 nucleotides in length. Their secondary structure includes four short double-helical elements and three loops (D, anti-codon, and T loops). The record is from RNAcentral. Lineage: Bacteria; Pseudomonadati; Verrucomicrobiota. RNAcentral also lists the same sequence under 1 other name.
GGAGGGGUGGUCGAGUGGUUUAUGGCUCCGGUCCUGAAAACCGGCAGGCCGAGAGGCCUCGUGGGUUCGAAUCCCACCCCCUCCG